CAAAAUGGGGCAGGGAGGGGUGGAAAUGGUGCAAAAUGGGGCAAGGAGGGGCAGUGAUGGUGCAAAAUGGUGCGAGGAGGGGUGGAAAUGGUGUAAAAUGGUGCAAGGAGGGGCAGCAAUGGUGCAAAAUGGUGCAAGGAGGGGUGGAAAUAGAGCAAAAUUAUGCAAAGCAGGGCAGCAGUAGUGCAAAAUGGGGCAAGGAGGGGUGGAAAUGGUGCAGAAUGGGGCAAGGAGGGGCAGCAAUGGUGCAAAGUGGUGCAAGGAGGGGUGGAAAUGGUGCAAAAUUAUGCAAGGAAGGGCAGCAAUGGUGCAAAAUG
This is a long non-coding RNA of Tympanuchus pallidicinctus (lesser prairie-chicken), 317 nucleotides long. RefSeq lists it as uncharacterized. The transcript is spliced from 3 exons. The record is from RefSeq and is a predicted model, not a curated record. Lineage: Eukaryota; Metazoa; Chordata; Aves; Galliformes; Phasianidae.